UCUGGCGACUGGUUGAGUAUCCUAACGGGCUUUUCAACUGGUCACCCAUAAAUAUAAGGAGACGUGUUAGUGGCCCGUAUCGCUGGCAUUAACGUUCCUGAC
Molecule: small RNA, 102 nt
Filed under: Pseudidiomarina piscicola
Lineage: Bacteria; Pseudomonadati; Pseudomonadota; Gammaproteobacteria; Alteromonadales; Idiomarinaceae
Description: Idiomarina sp. CECT 9734 Alpha_RBS
Rfam family: Alpha operon ribosome binding site
About the family: The bacterial alpha operon ribosome binding site is surrounded by this complex pseudoknotted structure. Translation of the mRNA produces 4 ribosomal protein products, one of which (S4) acts as a translational repressor by binding to the nested pseudoknot region.
Source: RNAcentral